RNAcentral lists this ribosomal RNA (478 nucleotides) under uncultured bacterium. RNAcentral describes it as "partial 16S ribosomal RNA". It matches the Rfam family "Bacterial small subunit ribosomal RNA", at positions 28 to 523 of the family's 1533-position model. The record is from RNAcentral.
GACGAACGCUGGCGGCGUGCUUAACACAUGCAAGUCGAACGGUAAGGCCCUUCGGGGUACACGAGUGGCGAACGGGUGAGUAACACGUGGGUGAUCUGCCCUGCACUUCGGGAUAAGCCUGGGAAACUGGGUCUAAUACCGGAUAGGACUCCUGCCUGCAUGGGUGGGGGUGGAAAGCUUUUGCGGUGUGGGAUGGGCCCGCGGCCUAUCAGCUUGUUGGUGGGGUGAUGGCCUACCAAGGCGACGACGGGUAGCCGGCCUGAGAGGGUGUCCGGCCACAGUGGGACUGGGAUACGCCCCAGACUCCUACGGUAGGCAGCAGUGGGGAAUAUUGCACAAUGGGCGCAAGCCUGAUGCAGCGACGCCGCGUGAGGGAUGACGGCCUUCGGGUUGUAAACCUCUUUCAGCACAGACGAAGCGCAAGUGACGGUAUGUGCAGAAGAAGGACCGGCCAACUACGUGCCAGCCGCCGCAGUAA